This 945-nucleotide long non-coding RNA is filed under the name Mus spicilegus (steppe mouse). RNAcentral's name for it is "lncRNA (ENSMSIG00000023222.1)". Lineage: Eukaryota; Metazoa; Chordata; Mammalia; Rodentia; Muridae. The record is from RNAcentral.
UAGGUCUCUAUACCAAUCCAUAGAUCCUGUUGAUCCAGUUGUCCUAAAGACCUUUAAGAGAGUUGAGGUGAGUGGGAGCCUCAGCUACUCACGGGAAGCUUGCGUGUGGCCUUUCACAGACUUUUCUUUCCUCCUGCCAUGGCUUCUUCCAUCCACAGGUUCCUCCCACAGGGACACACCCUUCCCGGGUGGCAUUCUCCAGACACAAGGCAGAACCUGCUUUUCUCAUUUGUGACCUAACUAGAAAGUAACUACUGACAUCUCCAUCAUAUUCCAUAGGCCAAAGUAGUUAAGUGAAAGAAUGCUGGGACCAUGUUUUCUAAGUGCUACAGACCAACCAGUUCGUAUACGAUGUAACGGGUCCAGCAGAAAGCUUCUGGGAAGUCUGAAGUCUUCAUUUCUUCCCAGGAGUACUUACAGACCAACACUGAGAGAAAAAGAAAAGGAUUCAUUAGACAUUGUUUUCCAGCCUUUCCAACGAGGAAGUAAAGAGACUAGUCCACCCUCUGUUGAUUGCUAUGAAUGGCCAUCUUUUCCUGGGUUUGGUCUCAUCUUAGCACUGGACAAAAUGAUCAAAAAAACAGCUGCCUACCCACAAAACUAAGUUGCCUUUAACCUAUGAAGAAUCUGGAUGUCUGGACUGAAAGCAGUUCCAGGAAGCAGCAGAGGUUGCAGCUACCCCGAAUGUGCCCAUUUGCACUUCUCUGGAAAUGAUCAAUAGACAGCGUGGGUUCAUCCUCACCUUCUUCCCGCCCCACGCCCACUUGUGAGGUAAAGUACUGACCCAAGAGACUCUGAGUUACCACUUCAUCAAGCAAGAAAUUAGCAUGUAGAUCAGACUGUAUCACCGGACACAUCACAAAAGCUGGUAAUUCUGGAGAAACUUUUAAAUGCUGUUUUUUAUUGGGUCUCUUGGGGGAAUAUUUCAUAAAAUCAUUAAGGAAC